GCAUGGAGGUGACGCUGCCGAAGCUCGCUUGUUUGGAAGAAAUGUUGCUGCCACCAACCAAGCUUUUGACGGCGACGGUUGCCACCAAACUUCUACCCCCGGCGGUGCAAAAAUGCAGCCUCAAAGCGGCGCUGCAGUCAAGGCGGGUCACCCGCUCAGCCAAGAUGGAGGAACGUUCUUCAAUUCCGCGGAUCAGUCCGUGGAACUUACAUACAAGUACAUGAGAGUGAAGCCUGCGGUGGUGAUGCUGGACAUGCCGGGCUCAGACGAGGAGGGGG
Molecule: long non-coding RNA, 278 nt
Organism: Hyalella azteca
Lineage: Eukaryota; Metazoa; Arthropoda; Malacostraca; Amphipoda; Hyalellidae
Exons: 3
Source: RefSeq, a predicted model, not a curated record